UCUUUGAGAACAUAAGUGCACCCAUGAG
RNAcentral lists this non-coding RNA (28 nucleotides) under Mus musculus (house mouse). Lineage: Eukaryota; Metazoa; Chordata; Mammalia; Rodentia; Muridae. The record is from RNAcentral.